GCCAGCUGCCUUCCCAGCUAACAGAGGUUUUCCGGACGCCAUUGGCCAUCCUCCGGUGAAGGUUCUCAGGAAGUCUGCGAGACCCUAGGAACUGCAGACCCUCAGCUGCACCUCCUCACCUCCGAGGAUGACAAAAGCGCUAUUCCUCUCCUUGGCCAGCUGCCUCCUUGUGGUAAAUCAGGCCAAAUUCCCAGUCCUCGGUCGCUGUGAGGUGGCCAAGUUGAUGUCCCAGGAAGACUUGGAUGGGUAUGAGGGCUACUAUCUGAGUGACUGGCUGUGCCUGGCUUUUGUGGAAAGUGGCUUCAAUGUAUCAAAGAUAAAUGAAAAUGCAGAUGGCAGCUUCGAUUAUGGCAUAUUCCAGAUCAACAGCCACUACUGGUGCAAUGAUUACCAGAGUCACUCGGAAAACCUUUGCCACGUGGACUGUGAAGAACUGCUGGAUGCCAACCUUCUCUCAUCCAUCAACUGCGCCAAAAUGAUUGUGUCUUCAGGAGGGGGGAUGAACAACUGGUGAGGACAUUGUGGGACUUAGUUAGCAGGCAGAGCCCCAAGAAGGAGGAUGUGACAGAGAAAGGGGCAACAGGAAAUGACUGGAUAAAAUGGAAAUUGCACUGUUUGGGCCGGCCACUGUCCUACUGGAUGACAGGAUGUCACCUGUGACAAAACAAGGGUGCAGGCCUGCUGUGGAGUCAUUGCGGGACUCUUUUCCUCAUGAGGGUAUUUUUUUUUCUUCUUCCUCUUGCCUCCACUUCAUGUUAUCUUCUUCCCUUCCCGUGUACAAAUAAAUUCCUCUUCCUUCCAACUUCAAAUUGACCAGAGCCCCAGGAAUAAACGGUUCUCUUGGACUUCCUCUUUGUUCUCAUCCAGGCCCAGGACUCUGGUUUCUGACCAUCAUUUGCAAACCAAGAGGACCACAGUGAAGUUUCUGUAUUUUUGGAAUUAUUAAAGCAUUCCCUGUACAAAGACUGUGUCAAUUUAUUCAGUAGUUCCACAUAUAUUUGGGUGUCUAAUGUGGUAGAAGUGUGCUAGAUACUGAUAAGUAAGAUAAAACAUAACUAAAGCUCUUUAAGUUUUCAUAAUCUAGGUGAGGAAGUAGAGACGUACAUGACUAAUUAUAAUGGAUAAUGAAAUGGCUAAUAAAAUCUAUAAUAUUGGUUUGAUACUCUAUCAUGAUAUAAGUAAGCCCUCAGAAGAAGAGAAUGGGUUCAGCUAAGGAUCUGGUAUUGAGGUUGAGAAAGUAGUGGCAGCAAGGGGGAAACGGUACCAAAUCCCAAUAUUUUGGAGUGCUUUGGGAGA
RNA transcript from Choloepus didactylus (southern two-toed sloth), 1296 nucleotides. It is a transcript of the gene named lysozyme like 6, with no coding region annotated. The transcript has 5 exons. The record is from RefSeq and is a predicted model, not a curated record. Lineage: Eukaryota; Metazoa; Chordata; Mammalia; Pilosa; Megalonychidae.